Chelonia mydas (Green sea turtle) is the source of this 576-nucleotide long non-coding RNA. RefSeq lists it as uncharacterized. NCBI's taxonomy places the organism in Eukaryota, Metazoa, Chordata, Testudines, Cheloniidae. The transcript is spliced from 3 exons. The record is from RefSeq and is a predicted model, not a curated record.
UGUAGGAAGUAGCCCAGGACGACAGCAGUAAAGAUUAGGACUGUGCAGACCUGGACUGCUUGUUGUAGGGUCCCUGGGCUGGAACCCAGGGUAGAGGCUGGGUCUGGGUUUCCCUGCCAGCCACUGGAGUAGCUUUACUGAGGGGCAGUGAACUGGAAGGCUGCCUGGGAUGGCAGUGAGACUUUGGUGCACAAACCUCCCUGGAAGGGGAAAACUACAGUGACCUGGCUGAAGGGCCAAGCAAUGAAGAGGAAGCAGGGGUUGGACUAGCUGAUCCUUGUGGUCCCUUCUAACCCUAUGGUUCUCUGAGUCCCGAGAAAGAGAAGGAGUGAGCACUGGCAGGAAGGGGCGUCAGACAGGCAGAGCUAAUCCACAGCCAGGAGGAGGUGCCCCAGUGGGCCUUUCUGCUGGCUUGCUCGCGGGCACUGGGUGCAGAGAUGCUGAAGACGCCAGCUGGGAGAAGCCAGCUGGUGUGACAGCUGGACUUGGACACUGGAAGGGAACAGAAAUCUGAAGUCCCCUUGCUGGAAGGCAAGGCCACGGAAGACCCAGGCAGAGACAUACUGUUGCAGGACC